Molecule: long non-coding RNA, 307 nt
Filed under: Ananas comosus (pineapple)
Lineage: Eukaryota; Viridiplantae; Streptophyta; Magnoliopsida; Poales; Bromeliaceae
Description: long non-coding RNA (ACOM_LNC011836)
Source: RNAcentral
UUUAGAAUCAAUCGGAGUCGCAUUAGAAAGUUUUCAUAAUUUUACACAGUGUAUCGGUACACGUGAGGCUGUCACCGGUUACACGAUGACGGAACAAAAAUCUGCGAAGCCAAAGUCGAUGGCUGUACCGGUACGGGUCAAUUGCUGUACCGGUACACAGUGCAUUUUUCAGACUUAGCACUGUUUCGGGUUCCGCAGAGUUCCGAAGCACUUUCUAAUCAACGAAAUGUGGAUAAUAAUGAUUCUAAUGCCUAUAACUAAGUAUGAAUCACCAUAACAUAAAGUAAAGACUUUACCUGAGCAUCGU